Molecule: ribosomal RNA, 178 nt
Filed under: uncultured bacterium
Lineage: Bacteria
Description: partial 16S ribosomal RNA
Rfam family: Bacterial small subunit ribosomal RNA
Source: RNAcentral
GAAGUCGGAAUUGCUAGUAAUCGCGGAUCAGCAUGCCGCGGUGAAUACGUUCCCGGGCCUUGUACACACCGCCCGUCACACCAUGGGAGCCGGUAAUACCCGAAGUCAGUAGUCCAACCUCGUGAGGACGCUGCCGAAGGUAGGAUUGGCGACUGGGGUGAAGUCGUAACAAGGUAAC